This 389-nucleotide long non-coding RNA is filed under the name Androctonus crassicauda. Lineage: Eukaryota; Metazoa; Arthropoda; Arachnida; Scorpiones; Buthidae. The record is from RNAcentral.
GGAAAGACUUCUUUCAUCGAGUUGACCUCUGUCCUUGUUCUCUUGCCAGUGGGUCCUAUCUUCUCCCUGAAUCUGAGAGUUGUCUUUGUAUAUGUUUUUCUCUUGUCCUUUUUUCUGCUGGUCUCUACUGGUCUCUUUUCUCUCUAUUGGUCUGUUGAUUCUCCCAGUUCAGUUUUCCUCUGCCAGUCUGUUGAUUCUCUACUGGUCCCUUCCUCUCUACCAAUCCGUUGAUUCUCUAAAUAUCUCCCUUCUAUUUUUAGACUUCAGCCUGCCAAACCUGCAUGUCUACUUGUUUGGAGUGCUGGAGCGUCACGCGGGGGCUGCUCCUGGUGUCAGAGAUUGAUUUGAGAAUCCCAGGCAGUUUGGGAUCUCAGAAGUGGGGCUAACAG